Molecule: ribosomal RNA, 234 nt
Filed under: uncultured bacterium
Lineage: Bacteria
Description: partial 16S ribosomal RNA
Rfam family: Bacterial small subunit ribosomal RNA
Source: RNAcentral
GCACACCUAGGGGCGCAGCAGUGAGGAAUAUUGGUCAAUGGUCGGGAGACUGAACCAGCCAAGCCGCGUGAGGGAGGAAGGUACAGAGUAUCGUAAACCUCUUUUGUCAGGGAACAAAGACUGGGACGCGUCCCCGGAUGAGUGUACCUGAAGAAAAAGCAUCGGCUAACUCCGUGCCAGCAGCCGCGGUAAUACGGAGGAUGCGAGCGUUAUCCGGAUUUAUUGGGUUUAAAG